Sphaerodactylus townsendi is the source of this 1187-nucleotide long non-coding RNA. RefSeq lists it as uncharacterized. NCBI's taxonomy places the organism in Eukaryota, Metazoa, Chordata, Lepidosauria, Squamata, Sphaerodactylidae. The record is from RefSeq and is a predicted model, not a curated record. The transcript is spliced from 2 exons.
CUGUCCCCCUUGCCCCCAUGGAGGCUUCUGCACCUGCCUCCUGGUGAUUGUUGCAGCAGGAAGUCACGUUCCAGUCAGCUGUGCUGGCAAAGAGGCUUAGAAGCACGAGUUUCAGGGAGGAAGAAUGGAGAUAUCAUGUGGACAGGUGCUAGGCAGCUGCUGGAAUAUACCCUAACGCUUUUAUGUAGCCGCAGAUUACCUCUUGAUAUGCCCUCCCCCUUUCUCCCAACAAUACACUGGAACAGGAUCAGACGAGCAGAAGGGGAGCAGGGACGGAAGGGGGUCUCUCGCUGUGCACGGCGGGCCCAGUUGGCAACUUUUCCCCUGGCUGGCUUUGACCGGCGUCCGCUUGCGGCCUAAAAAAACCUCUUUCUUUCCCCCUUUCCUCUGCCUUAGCAAAAGUACUUUGACUCCGGGGACUACAACAUGGCCAAAGCAAAGAUCAAGAACAAGCAGCUGCCGACGGCGGGAGCGGACAAGAACCUCGUGACCGGCGACCACAUCCCGACGCCGCAAGACCUCCCGCAGAGAAAAUCCUCCCUCGUCACCAGCAAGCUCGCAGGAAGCGGCGUGUCGAAAGUUGCCAGAUCCCCUUUCCCAGACGCUUCUGAGGUCUUGGCUCUGCUUCUGUGGUAGCUGCAAUCUGACCUGCUUCACUUCAAUAUAAUCCACACAUUUGUUUUUCUUUGACCAUGCCAAAGCUGUGCCUGCUCUCUUGCAGGGAGGGACAGGGUAUAGAUUGUAUUGAAUUUUGAGGAAAAUGUACAUUUGACUUCUCUGGGGGCAAACAGACCUACUUCUCCCAUAUGUGCCUACCUGGGAAUUAAGAUCAUAGAGAGAGGCCCUCCUGACUAUCCCACCUAUCAAAGGAGUUUGUUUGGUGGGUAUACGAGAGCAGGGCCUUUUUGGUGGCGGCCCCACAAUUCUAGAACAACCUCCCCAGGGAAGUGCACCUGGCCCCCUCACUUGAGACAGCUGAAGAAGUUUUUUAUUUUUGGACUGCAUUUGAUUAAAGCAGUCCUAAACUGUGAUUUUAAAAAAAAAUUGGUUUUGUGUGUUUUUAUGUACUUUGUUUUUGUGUGUUUUAUAUAUAUUGUAAGCUGCCUUGAGCUCCACAAGGAAGAAAAGCAGCUAAUAAAAACAUUGUAAAUAAAGUUCUGCCAGAGCAGGUUAUAAGACUUCAAAAA